RNAcentral lists this RNase P RNA (371 nucleotides) under Arthrobacter nanjingensis. RNAcentral describes it as "RNase P RNA component class A". It matches the Rfam family "Bacterial RNase P class A". From Rfam's summary of the family: Ribonuclease P (RNase P) is a ubiquitous endoribonuclease, found in archaea, bacteria and eukarya as well as chloroplasts and mitochondria. Lineage: Bacteria; Bacillati; Actinomycetota; Actinomycetes; Micrococcales; Micrococcaceae. The record is from RNAcentral. RNAcentral also lists the same sequence under 2 other names.
CGGGCUGGCCGGGCGAUCGCGUUGACGUAAGUCACCGAGGAAAGUCCGGGCUCCGCACAGCAGGGUGGUGGGUAACGCCCACUCGGGGUGACCCGCAGGCCAGUGCCACAGAGAACAGACCGCCCCGUGCGUGCACGGGGUAAGGGUGAAACGGUGGUGUAAGAGACCACCAGCUCCCCGGGUGACCGGGGAGGCUAGGUAAACCCCACCUGGAGCAAGGCCAGACAGGAUGUGUUCGAGGGCUGCUCGCCCGAGCAUCCGGGUAGGCCGCUUGAGGCCACUGGCAACAGUGGUCCUAGAUGGAUGAUCGCCACUCCGCGCCGGGCAACGGGCGCGGAUGACAGAACCCGGCUCACAGGCCAGCCCGUCCC